This 497-nucleotide ribosomal RNA is filed under the name uncultured bacterium. RNAcentral describes it as "partial 16S ribosomal RNA". It matches the Rfam family "Bacterial small subunit ribosomal RNA", at positions 28 to 507 of the family's 1533-position model. The record is from RNAcentral.
GAUGAACGCUGGCGGCGUACCUAAUACAUGCAAGUCGAGCGAACAGACGAGGAGCUUGCUCCUCUGACGUUAGCGGCGGACGGGUGAGUAACACGUGGAUAACCUACCUAUAAGACUGGGAUAACUUCGGGAAACCGGAGCUAAUACCGGAUAAUAUAUUGAACCGCAUGGUUCAAUAGUGAAAGACGGUUUUGCUGUCACUUAUAGAUGGAUCCGCGCCGCAUUAGCUAGUUGGUAAGGUAACGGCUUACCAAGGCAACGAUGCGUAGCCGACCUGAGAGGGUGAUCGGCCACACUGGAACUGAGACACGGUCCAGACUCCUACGGGAGGCAGCAGUAGGGAAUCUUCCGCAAUGGGCGAAGGCCUGACGGAGCAACGCCGCGUGAGUGAUGAAGGUCUUCGGAUCGUAAAACUCUGUUAUUAGGGAAGAACAAAUGUGUAAGUAACUAUGCACGUCUUGACGGUACCUAAUCAGAAAGCCACGGCUAACUACGUG